UAUUCAACCUUUCUUGAUACAGUAGAGAAAGCAUGUUAUCCUUUUUCUUUGAAUUUUGAGCUUCUUUUGCCUUGUGUCUUCUUUUGGAACUGCAAAGCACAAGACAAACUAUAAAUCUCUUCUACACAACAAGAAGAUACUGAAAAGUCUAUAUUAUCGUAGAAAAAGGCAAAAAGUAACUUACUAAACCUGGAUCCCAGCCAGCAAGGGACAACAAUAUCUUGACAGAGAACCUCAUGCAUCCCACACGGGUCAUCUACAUUGUCCGGGAUCCAUGUGCAUCAGAGAUUACAACAGUGGAAAACAAAAGAAUUACGCAACAGAAAGGUCUUGAUGAGAGUAAACAAGAGAAACGUGACUUACUGCUGAAGCACUUUCCUGCCUGUAGUUGAAGCAGAGGGACAAGAGGAGGCCCACCCUUCAAAUCUUCUCACACAGUAACACAAAAACGCAGCAAAUAAGCAACUGGAGUCUCAUGUACUGUUGUCUGGUGUUUCUGUUUAGUCAGUACUGUUCCUUAAAUCAGAGAUAAAGGACCAAGCCGUAUGCAAUUUCAUAAAAAAAAACAUGCAUUUGUUUUAAGAUCCAGCUGAUAACAUUGAUAAAGUCUUAGGUAAAUUAAAA
Molecule: long non-coding RNA, 624 nt
Organism: Tyto alba (common barn owl)
Lineage: Eukaryota; Metazoa; Chordata; Aves; Strigiformes; Tytonidae
Exons: 2
Source: RefSeq, a predicted model, not a curated record